Crenichthys baileyi (White River springfish) is the source of this 73-nucleotide non-coding RNA. Lineage: Eukaryota; Metazoa; Chordata; Actinopteri; Cyprinodontiformes; Goodeidae. The record is from the annotation of a GenBank genome assembly.
UGCUUGGUGGCAUAGUUGGUAGUGCUGUUGGCUUGCAGCAAGAGGGUCCUGGGUUCAAAUAUCAGCCUGGAAU